RNAcentral lists this non-coding RNA (30 nucleotides) under Homo sapiens (human). The record is from RNAcentral. Lineage: Eukaryota; Metazoa; Chordata; Mammalia; Primates; Hominidae.
UGGGAUAUAAUCUCCUGGUGUGCCAUUUGC